This 516-nucleotide ribosomal RNA is filed under the name uncultured bacterium. RNAcentral describes it as "partial 16S ribosomal RNA". It matches the Rfam family "Bacterial small subunit ribosomal RNA", at positions 28 to 523 of the family's 1533-position model. The record is from RNAcentral.
GACGAACGCUGGCGGCGUGCCUAACACAUGCAAGUCGAACGGAGUAAGUAGCAAUACUUACUUAGUGGCGAACGGGUGAGUAACGCGUAGACAACCUGCCUCUAAACUGGGGACAACACCGCGAAAGUGGUGCUAAUACCGAAUGUGGUAACUUGGUCGCAUGACUAAGCUAAGAAAGAUGGCCUCUACAUGUAAGCUAUCGAUUAGAGAUGGGUCUGCGUCUGAUUAGAUAGUUGGUGAGGUAAUGGCUCACCAAGGCGACGAUCAGUAGCCGGUCUGAGAGGAUGAACGGCCACACUGGGACUGAGACACGGCCCAGACUCCUACGGGAGGCAGCAGUGGGGAAUCUUCCGCAAUGGACGAAAGUCUGACGGAGCAACGCCGCGUGAGUGAAGAAGGUUUUCGGAUCGUAAAGCUCUGUCGUUUGGGACGAACGUAUCUUGCGUGAAUAAUGCAGGGUAAUGACGGUACCAAAGGAGGAAGCCACGGCUAACUACGUGCCAGCAGCCGCAGUAA